Long non-coding RNA from Pangasianodon hypophthalmus (striped catfish), 1295 nucleotides. RefSeq lists it as uncharacterized. The transcript has 5 exons. Lineage: Eukaryota; Metazoa; Chordata; Actinopteri; Siluriformes; Pangasiidae. The record is from RefSeq and is a predicted model, not a curated record.
GUGGAGGUGAUCUAUAAGGGUGGAGAUUCAGCAGAUCCACAUGGUGAACAGAUCUGCAUUGUGGAUAGAAGAUCACUAAGCUGUACAGCUGAAUACACACCGAGAACAUCACUCACUAACACAGUUCUUACACUGAGAGGAGUAAAGCUGACUGAUGGGGGAGUUUACAUCGUCCGAGACACGGAGACUAAUGAAUAUUUUCAUACUUACACAGUAUCAGUGACAGUAUCAGUGAGAGAGACAGGUAGAGUGAGUUUCUCGACAGUGCUGCUGCUGCCACCGCUGCUGCUGCUGCUUGUUGUUGCGCUGCCUGUGAUGAUCCUGUACCAGAGGAAACGACUUCAGUUCUACCAAAGAGAUGAACCAUAUUAACUUGUACAGAGGAGCAGCAGUGGAGCAGGAAGACAUCAGAUCUGAAAUGGUACCUCAGAAAUGACUAACCUACGAGAGAACCGAAUGAUGUUGGAGCAGGAAGAGAACGAAGCUCAAACAUAAGAAUGGAGUAACAGAGGGAAGAGAUUUAUAACUUCAUACAGCAUGAUUCUGGAGCAAGGAGAGAGCUAAACUCAGAUAGGAAGACGGGAAUAAAUGAUUUCUCCAUCCCUUUGUUCUUCACAACACCAAAAGAAUAUGACCUGACUACAGAAUCUGCUGGAAUCCUCCCUCAUACUGUUUGUCAGUUCUAGACCUGACUACUGCAAGUCUUUUUUUUAAUCCCUUUAUCUGUUACAUAUCCUCAUCAGAUAAUUCUAUAGGCUUCUCCUGUCAUAUAUUACCUUUGGAGAAGAUUUCACUGAGCACCACAUCAUGUAAGAAGCCUGGUUUAGAUCUCCACACCUGCACUCCAACUCUGGAAUAUCAUCUGUCCUUCUCUGGGAUCUGCUUCAGUCCUGGUUCCUCAGCAGUGUGAUGAGCUUCCAGCUCCUCUAAGAAGUGACAUGCAUAUUGGAAAAGUGCUUCACCUCAGCAACACUGAAUGCCAUGAAAUGAUCAUAUAACUGGUUGGUCAGGAUUCCCUUCAGCAAAGUCCUGCCAGUGUACACCACAAACUAACACAGUGAAAGCGGUUGGAUCCAUCACUCCACAUUCCCUAAUCUAACAGACCUGAUUCAACUCGUCAGAUUACUAGGAAAUUGCUUCAAGUCCUGAAAUGGGUGUUUAAGAUGCGGUAGACAUCCACCAUGCAGUGUUGGGGGCCUUCCAGGAAAAUGGUAAGAAAACACUGAAGACACUGUGCAUGAGCGUCCUCUACUGCCUGACAAUGGUAAUGUAAUAAUAAAGGCUUUUGGAACUAA